RNAcentral lists this ribosomal RNA (469 nucleotides) under uncultured organism. Its description in RNAcentral is "partial 16S ribosomal RNA". It matches the Rfam family "Bacterial small subunit ribosomal RNA", at positions 332 to 797 of the family's 1533-position model. The record is from RNAcentral.
UACACUCCUACGGGAGGCAGCAGUGAGGAAUAUUGGACAAUGGGUGGAAGCCUGAUCCAGCCAUCCCGCGUGCAGGUAGACGGCCCUAUGGGUUGUAAACUGCUUUUAUCUGGGGAUAAACCUACUUACGUGUAAGUAGCUGAAGGUACCAGAAGAAUAAGCACCGGCUAACUCCGUGCCAGCAGCCGCGGUAAUACGGAGGGUGCAAGCGUUAUCCGGAUUUAUUGGGUUUAAAGGGUCCGUAGGCGGACUGAUAAGUCAGUGGUGAAAUCCGACAGCUUAACUGUCGAACUGCCAUUGAUACUGUUAGUCUUGAGUAAGGUUGAAGUGGCUGGAAUAAGUAGUGUAGCGGUGAAAUGCAUAGAUAUUACUUAGAACACCAAUUGCGAAGGCAGGUCACUAAGUCUUAACUGACGCUGAUGGACGAAAGCGUGGGGAGCGAACAGGAUUAGAAACCCGAGUAGUCCCA